This 578-nucleotide long non-coding RNA is filed under the name Salmo salar (Atlantic salmon). RNAcentral describes it as "lncRNA (ENSSSAG00000094242.1)". The record is from RNAcentral. Lineage: Eukaryota; Metazoa; Chordata; Actinopteri; Salmoniformes; Salmonidae.
GGGUUGAGGGGCGCUAAAGGAUGGGACUGGAUGGUCAUCAGAGAUAGAUGGGAGGGGUUGAGGGGCGCUGAAGGAUGGGACUGGAUGGUGUUCGGAGAUAGAUGGGAGGGGUUGAGGGGAGCUGAAGGAUGGGACUGGAUGGUGCUGAAGGAUGGGACUGGAUGGAGCUGAAGGAUGGGACUGGAUGGUGCUGAAGGAUGGGACUGGAUGGAGCUGAAGGAUGGGACUGGAUGGUGGUCAGAGAUAGAUGGGAGGGGUUGAGGGGCGCUGAAGGAUGGGACUGGAUGGAGCUGAAGGAUGGGACUGGAUGGAGCUGAAGGAUGGGACUGGAUGGUGCUGAAGGAUGGGACUGGAUGGUGGUCAGAGAUAGAUGGGAGGGGUUGAGGGGAGCUGAAGGAUGGGACUGGAUGGUGGUCAGAGAUAGAUGGGAGGGGUUGAGGGUAGCUGAAGGAUGGGACUGGAUGGUGUUCAGAGAUAAAUGGGAGGGGUUGAGGGGAGCUGAAGGAUGGGACUGGAUGGAGCUGAAGGAUGGGACUGGAUGGUGCUGAAGGAUGGGACUGGAUGGUGUUCAGAGAUAG